Molecule: ribosomal RNA, 1519 nt
Filed under: metagenome
Description: bacterial SSU rRNA
Rfam family: Bacterial small subunit ribosomal RNA
Source: RNAcentral
AGAGUUUGAUCCUGGCUCAGAAUGAACGCUGGCGGCGUGCCUAACACAUGCAAGUCGAACGAGAAAUUUCCGCUUCGGUGGAAAAAGUAAAGUGGCGCACGGGUGAGUAACGCGUGGGUAACCUGCCUUUGAAUCUGGGAUAACCCCGUGAAAACGGGACUAAUACUGGAUAAUGUCCCUUUGGCUGUGGCCUUAGGGAUGAAAGGUGACCUCUUCAUGAAAGUUGCCGUUCAAAGAGGGGCCCGCGUACCAUUAGCUUGUUGGUGGGGUAACGGCCUACCAAGGCUACGAUGGUUAGCUGGUCUGAGAGGAUGAUCAGCCACACUGGAACUGGAACACGGUCCAGACUCCUACGGGAGGCAGCAGUGAGGAAUUUUGCGCAAUGGGGGAAACCCUGACGCAGCAACGCCGCGUGAGUGAUGAAGAUUUUCGGAUCGUAAAGCUCUGUCAAGCGGGAAAAAAUUCUUUCGGUUAAUAGCCGGAAGAACUGAUGGUACCGCUGGAGGAAGCACCGGCUAACUCCGUGCCAGCAGCCGCGGUAAUACGGGUGCAAGCGUUGUUCGGAUUUACUGGGCGUAAAGAGCGUGUAGGUGGUUUAACAAGUCAGAUGUGAAAGCCCUGGGCUCAACUCAGGAAGUGCAUUUGAAACUGUUUUUCUAGAGUAUGGGAGAGGAGAGUGGAAUUCCCAGUGUAGAGGUGAAAUUCGUAGAUAUUGGGAGGAACACCGGUGGCGAAGGCGACUCUCUGGACCAAUACUGACACUGAGACGCGAAAGCGUGGGGAGCAAACAGGAUUAGAUACCCUGGUAGUCCACGCCGUAAACGAUGAGAACUAGGUGUAGCGGGUAUUGACCCCUGCUGUGCCGCAGCUAACGCAUUAAGUUCUCCGCCUGGGGAGUACGGCCGCAAGGCUAAAACUCAAAGGAAUUGACGGGGGCCCGCACAAGCGGUGGAGCAUGUGGUUUAAUUCGACGCAACGCGAAGAACCUUACCUGGAUUUGACAUCCUCUUGCCACCCUGGAAACAGGGUUUAUCCGACUUGUCGGAAGAGAGUGACAGGUGCUGCAUGGCUGUCGUCAGCUCGUGUCGUGAGAUGUUGGGUUAAGUCCCGCAACGAGCGCAACCCUUGUCUCUAGUUGCCAGUAUUAAGUUAGGGACUCUAGAGAGACUGCCUCGGUUAACGGGGAGGAAGGUGGGGAUGACGUCAAGUCCUCAUGGCCUUUAUAUCCAGGGCUACACACGUGCUACAAUGGGCUGUACAAAGGGUAGCUAACUCGCGAGAGUACGCCAAUCCCAAAAAGCAGUUCUCAGUUCGGAUUGGAGUCUGCAACUCGACUCCAUGAAGUUGGAAUCGCUAGUAAUCGUGGAUCAGCAUGCCACGGUGAAUACGUUCCCGGGCCUUGUACACACCGCCCGUCACACCACGAAAGUCGACUGUACCAGAAGUUGCUGGGCUAACCCUUCGGGGAGGCAGGUACCUAAGGUACGGCCGGUAAUUGGGGUGAAGUCGUAACAAGGUA